Molecule: long non-coding RNA, 1379 nt
Organism: Oryza brachyantha (malo sina)
Lineage: Eukaryota; Viridiplantae; Streptophyta; Magnoliopsida; Poales; Poaceae
Exons: 4
Source: RefSeq, a predicted model, not a curated record
CCGGCGGCUGCUCCUCCUCGAAUCAUCCUUGCCGGCCGGUCCCGUCCUACCUCCGCGCUCCGUCCACCUCUGCCUCACCCACACCUGCGAAUCGCCGCGCCACCAGGGCCGUCGCCGACGAGAUCCCCGCUCGAGACCUAGGAUUCGCCUCGACCGCCGCCGAGGGCAAUCCCGUCGGAGCUACAACUGCCGGCAACCAAUCGUCUCACCGCAUUGAAGGUUGACCACAACUCGUUGCGAUCUCAGAGCAGGCGACGACGAGGAGGACGAAGGCAAACAAGAUCCAAGCAGAUCCACCAACACUGAAGCGCAUGCUUGACUUGCAAAAGAUAUUCAGAAAGCGAUCGAUUUUACAGCUGUGGGCAGUCGGUUUUGGGGUGUCGCAAACUCGGCAAACAGAAACCGUUGGAAGUACAGUCUGAGUCUUGACUUCCAGCCUAAACAACAAUGUCAGCAAGUGAGGCUUUUGCGAAUCUCUCGGUAUCAGCAGGUUCAGUUAACAGGUGGCCGAGAGUGAGAUGAGUCUGCAGCCUUCUCUUGUCACUGUCAGGUAUUCUCGCCAUGAGGCGCCGGCUGUAUUGUGCAUUCUGGUGUCUAGUCAUGUAAAUGCUUGAGCAGAGAACCCAUGCAGCCAUGUGAAGCUCUGAGCUGAACAUUCAGGGGGCAACGGCAAACCGGGGAAGCUGCUGGUGGAUGCAGUGUGGCUGUCGAGCUCGAGGUUUCUAAAUGUGUUGGUAAAUAAAGGCCAAAAAAGUUGCAGCCUUGUUCUUCUACCUAAUAAAGUUGGCGCCAAAUGGAGUCCACAGCUCGACGGGAACCUCGCUGGCCACGGCGAACGUGCUCGAUAUGGGCACCAGACAAAGCCCCCGGCCCUUCAGUGACACCUCGCCGUGCUUGGACUUGUCAGGACUUGAGUUCUGAAAUGAAACAAAUCAAUUGCACAGACGCAGGCAAAGCCAUCAUCAGCACUAGCUUGAACAGAGUUGGCACAGAUCAUAAGUACAGUGAUCGAUCAGAGUGCUGAAAAGGAGAGCAAGCAUGCAGCAUCCAACACUGGCUAUACCUUCAAGUGGGGCACUUGAUGGGCACCGUUCUUCAAGUAUGGGGCACUAAGAGCCUGCAGAAAAACAAACACAAGACAAUGUGCAGGGAACUUGAUGUACUCGAUGGUCUCAUGGAGCACCGAUGCGGUAUCCGUCUGCAUGCGCACACAUCGAGAAGAAAUAAGAUUGUGUUUAUGUGUUAGAUCGAUCUCGAAAGGAGGAGGAGAUCAAAAAGGAAGAACUCUUUUGCACAGAAGAUGUUGAUGUAUAGUUCCAAGCACUCUUUGUUUGUAAUAUAGUGCACAUUGGCCAUCAAAAGCCUCCCUCACCUUUCCA